UCGUCUGCUACUAACGAUUUUCAUUCGUAAAAUUCAAAUAAAACUGUAUGAUCGUCUGCUGCUAAGGAUUUUCGUUCUUUAAAAAUCGAUGAAAAUCAUUAACAGUAAAUGGUUUCGGCAAAAGUACAUUUUGGAUGACGAUUUUCGUUGGUUUUCCAUGUGCGAAAUUCAUUCAAUGAUAGCCUAAUGAUUUUCGUCGAUUUUCAUUUACGAAAAUCCGGAGAUGUGUAAAGCUCUUUGGUGAAGUGUACGAGGUUCUAGAAUCAUAACUGAUUCUAUAAUAAAGAAGUGAUUCGAGAACAUACAUUAGAAAACGUACCAAAGGCCGACGAUUUUCAUCAAGUGCAAUUUAUCUAAGCCUUUUUUCACAAACAGGGAGUAUAAGAACAAAAUUAUUCGGGUAAUAGUAAACGGAAGAUGUUUCAAUUAAUGCAAAACGUUAAGCGACUUUUAGUUUAAACAAGUAUUACACAGCAGCGGUAACCUACUUUAAUGUAAGUAUUUCAGUAGGAAAUUUCCUACUGAUUGAUUAAGUAGGUCGGAAAUCUACUAAAUUUGCAAUUUUCUUACUUAAAACGAGUUUUCCAAGUCACUUACUGUAAAUUGCAAAUACUUAUAUGUGGUUAUGCUACUUACACUUACCAUCCCACUUAUAAAUAAGAUGGUAAAUGGCAUUUUAAGUAUGAAACAUUCGAAAUAAGUAUGUUUUAAUUUAAGUAUCUUUAUUCAAGUUUUGCGAAACAUACUUUAUCCAUUUUUAAUACUUACAUUUAAAAGCUGUAUCAAAAUUAAGUAUCGUUUUCCCAAAUUUAAGUACUUUUUAUACCAUUUAAGUUCUUUAGAUAAGUACCUUGCACAGUGAAGCAGGUUGACUAAAUCAAAGUCGUUAAAAUUGCAAGUAUCUUGUAACUCUGACGAAUUUUAAUGAUCAAACACUACUCAUGAACUGUCAAUUGAAAAUCCAAAAACUUUUUUUGAACACAUCAAAUUCCAUCACAGGAAUACCGGGAAGUUUAUAAUGUUGCACUGUUAAAAAAGGUAAUGAUUUUCGGUAGAUAAUUGAACAUUAUUCUUUCUAUCUUUUUCUAUUUCAACUAAGAAAACGAUAUUUAAUUUAAUCAAAUUAAUAUUAGUAUAAAUUUAUUCAAAUUAUAACUAUGAACUUCAAAAAUUUUAUCAAUCGGUGGUGUUUGAUUACAGAAUUUUAGCACGUAAAAUCAAAUGAUACCAUUUCUUAAAAAUUUUUCUUAAAAUUUUUCUAUCACCCAACAGACCUUUAUAGUAUAUGAUGCUAUGUUUGCAUCAUGUAUAUCAUCGAGUGUAGCUCAGUGGUAAAGCAUUGGAAUACGACUUAGAAAGUCUGAUGUUCGAAUCCCGCGAUAUGCGAUAUAUUUUUUUCAUUUCUGAACCCCAUUUAUGGAUAUAGCCUAUCUUUAUAACCACAACAAAUUUCGAUAUGAUAGAAGUCAUUUGCUGAAUUUUUUACUAAAGAUUAUAUAAUUGCCCUAUAGAAAAAAAAGUAUGCGAAUGAAUUUUAAGUAGGCUAGACCCUUUAUUGAGCCUACUUAACUACUUACAACAUUCUUACAUGAAACAGGUUUUUUUAGUAGGAAAUCUCGUGUAAGUAUGGGCGGAAUUUAAGUAUCCAAAGCCAUGUAAGUGACCCUGGCACCUCUUAAGUAGGAAACAAUAAGUAGGGAGCCGCUGCUGUGUAUUUGUCAGUAAAAGAAAGUAAUGAUUGGCUGCAUGGAAUGAGUUUCGACUGCGAUACGGGAGAAUCGGGUUCGAGAUCCGUAAAAUAUGGUCUUAUUCUAAUUAAAAAUUAGCCUCAAAUAAAUGUACGACAAUCGUUGGGAAAAGACCCAACGAUUAUUAUAAGCUGAAAUGUAAAGCCGGUUUUCGUCGUCAAAAAACGUACGUCUCUUUUCCACCGCUUUCAGACCAUUUCUGCGUACGAAAACCACAAACAAAAUCUAUCAGUGUAGAUUAUCCACAAGAAUGGCUACAGUUGCCCACAGACUAUUGGAAUCUUUUAAGCGAAUAUCGCUUAGCAAGAGAUUUUGCCAAAAAACUUGAGGUGACCAAUGACUGUGCUGUGAGGGGAGUCAAAUUCAUCGGAGACUUAAAAGACUUCAUCCAUCAUUUGAAGAAAAGCGUCAGUAUCUAUUACAGGUUGUUGAGGAACAUGCAAUGCAUCAUCCAUCGUUGAUUAAAUCAAAUUUGAGUGUCAUAGAUAACGAUUAAUAUAAAAUUGAAAUACGUUUGUUACAUACCUAGCUUUAGUGUGCACUGUUAUAAAAACCUCACGUUGUUUGAGACGUGUAACCCUCAAAAAUCGGGAACCGAGGGGAAUGAAAUAUAAUCCGCGAAAAUUGAGACGCAAUUCGGGUAUCGAAAAUUGUGCGACAUAACCCUCAAAAGUAUAACCAGAGUUGCCGCGAUCGAUGGAAAUGAUCGAGAUCGAAGGAUCGAUCGAUCAAUUUUCCCUGAUCGAGGCGAUCGAAUUGAUCACAGCAGGUUAUCGAGAUCGAGAUCGAGAUCGAAAGGGUCACAUGAUCGAGAUAUUUCUCGAUCAAGACGAAUUUUGCGCCACCUAGGUUGAUAAUUUUUUUUUUAAUUUGUCUGCUUUUUCAGACGACGUGAAUUUAUGCAACUUCACGUGUUGCAGACUUGCAGUAACAUUCAUUUAUUCUAGAUUCUAGACAUAGCACAUAGUCAAAUCUUUUAAUACUGCAUAAGUAACGAAUUUAACGAUUGUGAGAUGAGUGUGGACGUGGAGCCUUCAACGUCAAAAGAUGAUAGGCGUAGGCCUACGCCUACCAUUGAUUUAACUGAGAGUCAACCUGCACUUGCAGAAAAGAAGAAAUAUGUAGUAUUUGUCCCACCAGAUUAUUUUGAAAAAGUUAGCAGUACAGAGAAAUCUACGAUUUACAAGUGCUUGAUGGGUUGUUUAAACAAAACCGUUACAGUGAACCACACAACUCUUCAUAAUGUUGGCAGACAUGUUGAGUCUUUCCACAAAUUAAGAUUGCCCGACUUAAAUUCAAAAAUUGAAGAACACAAAACUCAGUUUGUUAAAUAAACGUCGCGAUUCAGGGAAAGAUGUGUUUGGUGCUCAGACAGUAAUUGACAAACAUUUGGUUAACACAAAAGAGCCACCGACCUCUAAGCCCAUUGUUACUCAAGCCGACUUGGACGACAAAAUCAUGGAUUUUAUUGUAAGCGACAUGAAUGCUUUAAGGAUAGUUGAGAAAGAAGGUUUUCUCUGGCUCAUGGGAGGCCUUGUUGGAAAGUUAAAAGUAAAAAAGAGAACGUUCUUUACCGAAAAACUGAAGCGAAACUUUUCAAAUUCGAAAACUGCACUCUGCUUGGCCCUGGAAAACGUAACUGAUGUGUGUACCACCGCUGACAUGUGGACAGCUCAUCGUAGGAGCUACUUAGGGAUGACAGUCCACUGGAAAGGGGACGAUUUAAAGAGACGCAGUGCUUGCCUAGCGAUUCGCCGAGUAAAAGACAGACACACGUUCGACGUGAUUGCAAAAUAUUCGGAGGGAAUGAACUGACUGAGGAUCAAGACGAUUUGCAAAAUUAUGACGACGAAGAUUGUGAGAAUGACGAUGACGUUGUCUACAUAGACUUAGAUCAAAUCUUUCAAGAACAUGCACAAGAACAAAUAUUAGUGGACAAUGAAGAUGCAGAUUCUGAAACGGAAAAUGAAUGCCGAGAACGAAUCAAAUUGCCUUAUCACGUUAAGUGUCCAUGUCAUCUCCUGAAUCUAAUAGCAACUACAGAUAUUUCUAAAAUAACGAAUGUGACCUUCAACAAACUGAAAAAACAAGUUGAUUGAAAAUUGCAGAAAAUUUUGAGUAAGCAAUCUCGAAGUUCCUUGGCCUCUGAUACCAUCAAAGAAAAACUAGGCUCGCUUUUCAUCUUGUACAAUCAAACUAGAUGGAAUGCUUUCUAUGACGCCAUGAACUGUGUACGCAAAUUUUCUAACACGAAAAGUACGGAGCUAGGAGAAACAUUUCGUUACUUUGGAUUGAUUCCCUUAACGCAGUCAGAAAAGGAAUUUAUUGGAGAAUACGUUCGUAUAAUGGAACCGUUUACUCAAGCACUCGAUGUUCUGCAAAAUGAAGAAAAUAUGAGUAUAGGAUGUGUUAUACCCACAAAGCUGCUACUUGUGGAAAAAAUGGAAGAGUUUUUAAUUGAUCCCACUAUUCAUCACUGUGGUCCCCUUGUUUUUGCCGUUCUUGGCGGAUUACACGCCAGAUUUAAUCACUUAAUGAACGAGCAUCAUUUAAUAAUGGCAAGUAUCUCUGACCCAAUGUUUAAAAUGGUAUGGGCUGAAGACGAUUCCAAAGCUGCGUAUACUUUAUUACUCAAAGGAGCAGUUCGACGUGUGAAGACUAGUCACUGCAGUCAGCCUACAUCUUCUACAAUUAACAUCCAAAACAAUGAAUCACCAAAAAAAAAGCGCUUCCUUGAUGGAUACAAUCGGAGGCCGUCAACUGAAAUCGACGAAGUCGAGAAAUAUCUUACAGAGGAUUCACAGGACAUCUCUUUGUUAGAUCGUUUUCCCAACAUCAGGAUGAUUUACAAAGAAUACAACAGUGGCCUGCCGUCUUCAGCUGCCUGCGAAAGAUUGUUCAGCACAGCAGGACUCAUUUUCACAGCAAAAAGAUGUAAUCUCUCUGAUUUAAAUUUUAAAAUGUUGGUUUUCUUAAAGCUGAAUGGGGCUUGUUGCCGUGAAUGGGGCAAUCAACCGUCAAAAACAUCUGGAAACAACAGAAAAUAACAAUGUUUCACUUUGUGUAUUUGGUUUACUCUUUCAUAUAAAAAUACAAGAGGAAAAAUUCAGACGAUCGAUUUGAUCGACGUCGAUCAUCAA
RNAcentral lists this unclassified non-coding RNA (4888 nucleotides) under Daphnia magna. Its description in RNAcentral is "uncharacterized LOC116933397, transcript variant X1". The record is from RNAcentral. Lineage: Eukaryota; Metazoa; Arthropoda; Branchiopoda; Diplostraca; Daphniidae.